CCUACGGGAGGCAGCAGUGGGGAAUCUUGCGCAAUGGGCGAAAGCCUGACGCAGCGACGCCGCGUGAGGGAAGAAGGCCUUCGGGUUGUAAACCUCUUUCAGGAGGGACGAAGCCACUCGGGUUAAUAGCCCAGAGGGUGACGGUACCUCCAGAAGAAGCCCCGGCUAACUACGUGCCAGCAGCCGCGGUAAUACGUAGGGGGCUAGCGUUGUCCGGAUUUAUUGGGCGUAAAGAGCGUGUAGGCGGCCAGGUAGGUCUGCUGUGAAAACUCGAGGCUCAACCUCGAGACGUCGGCGGAAACCAUCUGGCUAGAGUCCGGAAGAGGAGAGUGGAAUUCCUGGUGUAGCGGUGAAAUGCGCAGAUAUCAGGAAGAACACCCGUGGCGAAGGCGGCUCUCUGGGACGGUACUGACGCUGAGACGCGAAAGCGUGGGGAGCGA
RNAcentral lists this ribosomal RNA (440 nucleotides) under uncultured bacterium. Its description in RNAcentral is "bacterial SSU rRNA". It matches the Rfam family "Bacterial small subunit ribosomal RNA", at positions 338 to 771 of the family's 1533-position model. The record is from RNAcentral.